Molecule: transfer RNA, 74 nt
Filed under: Bos taurus (domestic cattle)
Lineage: Eukaryota; Metazoa; Chordata; Mammalia; Artiodactyla; Bovidae
Also listed under: 3 other names
Rfam family: tRNA
About the family: Transfer RNA (tRNA) molecules are approximately 80 nucleotides in length. Their secondary structure includes four short double-helical elements and three loops (D, anti-codon, and T loops).
Source: Rfam by way of RNAcentral
UCCCUGGUGGUCCAGUGGCUAAGACUCCACACUUCCAAAUGCUGGGGGCCCGGAUUCAAUUCCUGGUCAGGGAA